This 253-nucleotide ribosomal RNA is filed under the name uncultured bacterium. Its description in RNAcentral is "partial 16S ribosomal RNA". It matches the Rfam family "Bacterial small subunit ribosomal RNA", at positions 524 to 776 of the family's 1533-position model. The record is from RNAcentral.
UACGGAGGGUGCGAGCGUUGUCCGGAAUCACUGGGUGUAAAGGGUGCGCAGGCGGACUUAUAAGUCAGAGGUGAAAUCUCACUGCUCAACAGUGAAACUGCCUUUGAUACUGUAGGUCUUGAAUUAGGGAGAGAUUCGUGGAAUUCCGAGUGUAGCAGUGAAAUGUGUAGAUAUUCGGAAGAACACCAGAGGCGAAGGCAGCGAAUUGGCCCUAUAUUGACGCUCAGGCACGAAAGCAUGGGGAUCAAACAGG